Molecule: long non-coding RNA, 403 nt
Organism: Phascolarctos cinereus (koala)
Lineage: Eukaryota; Metazoa; Chordata; Mammalia; Diprotodontia; Phascolarctidae
Source: RefSeq, a predicted model, not a curated record
GGGAAAGUGUUAGCUCGUUAUUAGGGAGAGAGAGGUUGGGAAAGGGACAGGCUGGGUGAAUUAAUAGCAACAGCAGUAAAGCAGCUUUGUGUGAGUGACCCUGAUAUGAUUGACUGUAUGUUCAGGACAUGUAAUGAUGGUGGAGCCUUCCUACAAAUACUGCACUAAGGAAAUGCACAGUUGCUGGAGUUCUCCACAGAGCCCUCUAUUAGAAGACUUUGUCAUGGUAUGGAAGUUCGACACAUCUGCCACCGGAGUGCUACAGAUGGUUCAACUCAUUAGCCUACAGAACUCUAACCGAACAUCACGAGGAGACCUGGGAUCUCACUUGGACUAAAUAUUAAGCUUGCCUCCUGUUCAAUGUCAUUACAUUCCUUUUUUUUUUUUAAAUAAAAAGCUAACC